Molecule: long non-coding RNA, 819 nt
Organism: Mesocricetus auratus (golden hamster)
Lineage: Eukaryota; Metazoa; Chordata; Mammalia; Rodentia; Cricetidae
Exons: 4
Source: RefSeq, a predicted model, not a curated record
CCUCGCUGGCUGCUGGCUUCCGGGUGCAGCUCCUCCUUAACCAGUGCGAAAGGUUUCCAGUAGCCUUAGCCUCCUAUGCCUUGGCCAGUGUCCAUAGUCACUGAUGAUAGAGGAGAAGUGAGAAAACAACGCAGAAAAUCUGCAGGCCGAGGACUUGGACUCCAACGUCGUGUGCACCAUUGGCCAGGAUAGUUGUUACUGGAGGGCUGUGAGCUUUCAAGGUUCCAUGCUGGCCCCUCUUGUUCCAUGACUCACUGAGUUUAACCAGGCUGUCUUACUGACCACGAGUAACCGACCCAUCCAGUGGAGGCUGCUGGGGUCACCACUGACUACACAAGCCAAGAGCCUGACUCCUCCUCCCCCAGGAUCCACUCACGAGCAGCCAGCAGUUCAGCUGCUCACCCUUCUGGCUGUCUGUACAUUCCAGAAUGUACAGAGCCCCUGCAGGGAACCGCUGGUGCCGUGAGAUCGUGCCUGCGACGGAUAGGUUGUGCCUAGAAGACAGCAUCUCCUAGCCGUUCUUCCUGUUUUCUGCCUCUGAUGUUCUUUCUGCCCCCUCUUCCACCAUAUCCCCAGAGCCUGGAGGUGUGAUGCCAAAGUUCUGUCCCUAAAACCUGGAGGGGGGAUGUCAAUGUUCUGUUUAAGGCUGAGCACUCAACUGAGGUUGAUGUGUUUAAAAUAAAUUUUGAAAGUUAUUUUGAAAUAUCCUUAGAUCUACAGGGAAGUUGUAGAAAGCAAUGUUCUGCAUGCCCAGCACCCGGGUUCCCUAAUGAAGAUUUUGGCAUCCAUGUUAAAUUAUUAAAACAGGCUAAAAGCAGA